Non-coding RNA from Podarcis lilfordi (Lilford's wall lizard), 988 nucleotides. The record is from the annotation of a GenBank genome assembly. Lineage: Eukaryota; Metazoa; Chordata; Lepidosauria; Squamata; Lacertidae.
GACGGCGUCGUUGGCAGGUGUAUAAAGGAUACAGUUGUAAGGUUGGAGUGAUAAAAAUCCUUUGUCUUGAUUCAGCCCACUAGUGAUAAUCUUGAUAAUCUUGAUCGAUUAUUAUACAUCUGUUUCAUGUUAUAAUUUUUCUUUGUAGUUCCUUUCUUCCAGUAUGGGCACCUUAAAGUCAGUUUCAGAGUAUCUUAUUAUAUAACUGCAUUGUAUUAGGGGAAGUUGCUUGUGAAAAUACGUAUAGACAAAAUUUCAUACAAAAAAAAUGUGUGCAUGAGGUGAAAUGCACCUGAAGAUUUGUACAAAUUUUCAUUUGGACAUGUUUUUUUAAAACAAAAAGAACUUGAUGUGGAAAUGGAGAGAACCGUACUCAGGAGUGGAAAAAUGAGAAACUGGGAGAAGCCGAAAGAGUUUCAUUUGUCCAUCCCUACUUGAUGAAUCUUUGGUGUGAUCCAUUGAGAGAGUACUGUGGCAUUACACAGUUUAGGUUUGGCUUGUUAUAUGCAUCUGACCUGUGAUGUAGUUUGUGAGCAACUUGUUUCUCUAUGGAUUAAAGAUACUAUUUAUUCAAGACUGAGAAGGUGAUCAGGCUUUAAAAACCCUUUAACAUUAGCAGAAUGGUAGAUUAAGGUGGUGGUGAUCUGUAUUAUUUAUGGCCAUUCAGAGGGUUCAUAAAUCUUGAUGUACCUGGCACUUGCUAUAAAAAUUGGCAUACAUGUAAACAGACACGGAUUAUUUGCCUGCCACAAAGUCCUGAGCAAAGUCAUCAGAAACUCCACAGAUGCUGGUGCAUUGCCAUUUAUAUAUAGCUCCCUUUUCUAUCUGAAAGCACCCAGCACAGAAUACAAUAUAAAACAGUGCCAGUAGCUGACAGUACAAAUAAAGAAAGAAAUCGAAAAAUAAAAGUGUAUAACUCUGAAUAAGUAUUAUUGAAGGACCUCAUUUUUUUUAAAAAAAUAAUGUUUAUUAAAUUUUAAGGAGUUAC